RNAcentral lists this ribosomal RNA (187 nucleotides) under uncultured bacterium. Its description in RNAcentral is "partial 16S ribosomal RNA". It matches the Rfam family "Bacterial small subunit ribosomal RNA", at positions 340 to 524 of the family's 1533-position model. The record is from RNAcentral.
UACGGGAGGCAGCAGUGAGGAAUAUUGGACGAUGGAGGCAACUCUGAUCCAGCCAUGCCGCGUGCAGGAAGACUGCCCUAUGGGUUGUAAACUGCUUUUAUACAGGAAGAAACACUGCUACGUGUAGCAGCUUGACGGUACUGUAAGAAUAAGGAUCGGCUAACUCCGUGCCAGCAGCCGCGGUAAU